Molecule: ribosomal RNA, 399 nt
Filed under: uncultured bacterium
Lineage: Bacteria
Description: bacterial SSU rRNA
Rfam family: Archaeal small subunit ribosomal RNA
Source: RNAcentral
GUGUCAGCAGCCGCGGUAACCCCAGCGCCACAAGUGGGAGCCACAUUUAUUGGGCCUAAAGCGUUCGUAGCCGGUCUGGUAAAUCUUUUGUGAAAUCAUAAGGCUUAACCUUAUGGAUUGCGAGAGAGACUGCCAGACUUGGAACCGGGAGGAGUCAGAGGUAUUCCGGGGGGAGCGGUAAAAUGUUAUAAUCCCCGGAGGACCACCUGUGGCGAAGGCGUCUGACUAGAACGGAUUCGACGGUGAGGAACGAAAGCCAGGGGAGCGAACCGGAUUAGAUACCCGAGUAGUCCUGGCUGUAAACUCUGCGAGCUAGGUGUUGCGUGUUCUUCGAGAGCACGUAGUGUCGGAGCGAAGGCGUUAAGCUCGCCGCCUGGGAAGUAUGGUCGCAAGGCUGAA